CUCCCCCUCCCCUCUCCGCUCUCGCUCUCCGUGAUUUAUUACUUGCCCUGCUGCUUCUGACAAACUAUUUGUAGGAAAAUGAGAUUUGGUCCGCGCUGGAUGGCUCCUCUGGGAGGCAGGCGUGGGGGUCGGGUGUCGGAGGCCCCGUGCGCCCCCCCACCCCCCACCAGAGCCCACGGCGCUCACGGAGCUCUUUAAGAUAAAUGAGCAAAAUUAAGAGACUCACUGGGGGAAGAAAACACUGGAUGGGAGCGAGCGAGAGCGGAUGGUACUUGGUUUCCUCCCAGAAAUGCAUCCACGUGCGCCCCACUGGGGCCUCCCCCAUCUGCUGCAGACUCCAGGGAACUUCCUCCCCUCAAAGACGAACUUCCAGCCCUGGAGCAUGUUUCUUCCUUUCCUGGGAUGUGGCGCUGAAAAGGGCAGAAACCUCUAGUAAGGCACAAGCAACAGAUUGGGGGUGGAGCAGCAGGUCUCUUUGGAGGUGGCCUGGAAGAAACCGGACAGAGAGGAUGGGAAGGGGAGAAACAGAAGAGUGUGACGAGAUCAUGAAGGAAAGAGGAGGCGUCUACUGAAUGUAAGGUAGAGCCAAAGGCAUCUAUUGAUGACUGAAGAAGAGGCAUGAAUAUGACAAAAACAGGAAGCAUCUGUUUCCACCAGUCACCAGCAAGCGGAGGAUCGUAUAAGGACACCCUUCAGUGUCAGUGUGCUUCAUUAUGCUUUUGGAUGUGUUAGUAAAAAUUCUCCGGAUUUGGAGUACCAGGAUGGAAAACUCUACAAUAUUGUUUUUUUCCAAUACCGAAGGCGUCUCCUCUCCUCAUCCCUGCUCUUUCCCUCCAGUUAAAAAAGAUAAAUAAACACUCUCUGUUGACAAAUGUCUUUUCUCUUUUCUGUAGACUCUGUGAGUUCUCCUUUCAGUUUAUGCUUUUGGAAACAAAAGUCCUUGUCUGUCCUUCAGGUGCGAGUCAGAGCCAGAUUCCUGACUAAAUGGAGGGAUGCAAUGAGAAAUUCAUAAUAAGAAAUUAUUUUGUUGUCAU
RNAcentral lists this long non-coding RNA (1034 nucleotides) under Homo sapiens (human). RNAcentral's name for it is "HSALNT0038109". Lineage: Eukaryota; Metazoa; Chordata; Mammalia; Primates; Hominidae. The record is from RNAcentral.